This 143-nucleotide small RNA is filed under the name Escherichia coli N36410PS. RNAcentral's name for it is "QUAD RNA". It matches the Rfam family "Short Intergenic Abundant RNA". Rfam says of the family: This family contains multiple ncRNA from E. coli that were identified in a large scale screen of E. coli, were they were called candidates 43,55 and 61. These RNAs have also been identified by other groups and called QUAD RNAs. The record is from RNAcentral. RNAcentral also lists the same sequence under 2 other names. Lineage: Bacteria; Pseudomonadati; Pseudomonadota; Gammaproteobacteria; Enterobacterales; Enterobacteriaceae.
UUGACAAUCUUAUCGUGAAGGCAUACUUUCAGGAGUGAGGGUUGAGCGGGGUUUCCCCCGCCCUGGUAGUCUUAGUAAGCCGGGAAGCUUAUGACUAAGAGCACCAGGAUGAUGAUCCACUUCAUCAUGACCCUUUCCUUAUU